UACGAAGGGGGCUAGCGUUGCUCGGAAUCACUGGGCGUAAAGGGCGCGUAGGCGGAUCUUUAAGUCGGGGUGAAAGCCCAGGGCUCAACCCUGGAAUUGCCUUCGAUACUGAAGAUCUCGAGACCGGAAGAGGUAAGUGGAACUGCGAGUGUAGAGGUGAAAUUCGUAGAUAUUCGCAAGAACACCAGUGGCGAAGGCGGCUUACUGGUCCGGUUCUGACGCUGAGGCGCGAAAGCGUGGGGAGCGAACAGG
This 252-nucleotide ribosomal RNA is filed under the name uncultured bacterium. RNAcentral describes it as "partial 16S ribosomal RNA". It matches the Rfam family "Bacterial small subunit ribosomal RNA", at positions 524 to 776 of the family's 1533-position model. The record is from RNAcentral.